GGGGGGGGGAUGAAGUGAGCGCGCCCGGGGUGCGGACCCCAGGCUGGGGAGCGAGAAGUCAGAUCGUUCCCUGUGGUGAAAUAAAAACACUCGAAAAGCCGACAGGCCUGGUUGUGCCUUACAGAACCACAGCACGAGGUUCCUGUAGAAGAAGGGCUCCCUGCUGACAUCACUGAGUUGCUCUGAAGAGGGAAUGUCCUGCUGCUUCUCACAGCUUCCCCACCACAGGCAAGUGCAUGCACCCCUGGGUUGCAGAGUCCCACCAUGCGGUUCCUCUUCUCCUUUGUCAACUCAAGAUUUUCAUAGAGGACAGCCAUGUUGUUUUUAAACGCCUCUGACAUCAGGAUGUUUGGCUAAAUACAGCUGGGUGCCCAGGUUUGGUUGUCAGAAUGAGAUAUUAGAAGUCCCGAUUGGUUUCCAUCUCCCAGUGUUUCCUGGUCAGUCCUGUGCUUGCAGGGGAAGUGGCAGAAG
Molecule: non-coding RNA, 471 nt
Organism: Phasianus colchicus (ring-necked pheasant)
Lineage: Eukaryota; Metazoa; Chordata; Aves; Galliformes; Phasianidae
Source: RefSeq, a predicted model, not a curated record